AUGAAUAUCUGUGCUGGAAGCUUCUAUUGAACUUUACUUAAGUCACAUCUGAGACCCUCUGCCUGUCAGUCCACCAUUACCCUAACAGUGGUAGAAAUUCUUUAUAUGACACCUAGAUCUUUUUUUGUUGCACUUUUAAGCUGUGUAGGAAACACACUGCCCACAUGUUCAUACAACACAGAGUGAUUAUCCACUUAGUUCCUAAAAAGUUGUGUUUGGUUAUGGGAUUUGAUCCCACUUGUCCAGGGUUCAGGUCAGCUACUGAAGAUUAGGAUAUCUGGGUACCUCUUACUGGAGAAUCCAUUCCUGUUUUCAUUUCAUUCCUGGGGGCAAUAUUCAAUCUGGUGUGGCCCUCUGUAUUAUAAAAUGUUUCCCAGAUUGU
RNAcentral lists this long non-coding RNA (382 nucleotides) under Homo sapiens (human). RNAcentral describes it as "HSALNT0149539". Lineage: Eukaryota; Metazoa; Chordata; Mammalia; Primates; Hominidae. The record is from RNAcentral.